RNAcentral lists this ribosomal RNA (253 nucleotides) under uncultured bacterium. RNAcentral describes it as "partial 16S ribosomal RNA". It matches the Rfam family "Bacterial small subunit ribosomal RNA", at positions 524 to 776 of the family's 1533-position model. The record is from RNAcentral.
UACGGGGGGGGCAAGCGUUGUUCGGAAUUACUGGGCGUAAAGGGCUCGUAGGUGGCCGACUCAGUCGGACGUGAAAUCCCUCGGCUUAACCGGGGAACUGCGUCCGAUACUGGAUGGCUUGAGAUCGGGAGAGGGAUGCGGAAUUCCAGGUGUAGCGGUGAAAUGCGCAGAUAUCAGGAAGAACACCAAUGGCGAAGGCAGCUCUCUGGGACGGUACUGACGCUGAGACGCGAAAGCGUGGGGAGCGAACAGG